GAAUGAUUUCCGCCAACACUGGCACCUGGAAACCCCGGCCAGACUCCCUACGGAGGCAGCAGUGAGGAAUUUGCGCCAAUUGGGGCACCUGACGCCAGCGACGCCCGGCGGAGUGAGGAAGCCUUCCGGGUCCGUAAAAGCUCCUGUCAAAAGGAAAGAAAUGUAUAAUGGCUAAUACUGUUAUAUUUGACGGUACCUUAAAGGAAGCACCGGCUAACUCCGUGCAGCAGCCGCGGUAAUACGGAGGGUGCAGCGUUAUUCGGAAUUAUUGGGCGUAAAGCGCGCGUAGGCGGUUUCGUAGGUCAGAUGUGAAAGCCCGGGGCUCAACCCCGGAAGUGCAUUUGAAACCCCGAGACUUGAGGUAUGGGAGAGGGAAGUGGAAUUCCAGGUGUAGAGGUGAAAUUCGUAGAUAUCUGGAGGAACACCGGUGGCGAAGGCGACUUCCUGGACCAAUACUGACGCUGAGGUGCGAAGGCGUGGGGAGCAAACAGGAUUAAGAUACCCUGGUAGUCCACGCAGUAAACGAUGAUCACUAGGUGUUGGGGGUAUUGACUCCUCCAGUGCCGCAGCUAACGCAUUAAGUGAUCCGCCUGGGGAGUACGGUCGCAAGAUUAAAACUCAAAGAAAUUGACGGGGGCCCGCACAAGCGGUGGAGCAUGUGGUUUAAUUCGACGCAACGCGCAGAACCUUACCUGGAUUUGACAUCAUGGGUAUCUUUUCGAAAGAUUUGAGUGCCCUUCGGGGAGCCCAGUGACAGGUGCUGCAUGGCUGUCGUCAGCUCGUGUCGUGAGAUGUUUGGUUAAAUCCAGCAACGAGCGCAACCCCUGUCUUCAGUUACCAUCAUUAAGUUGGGGACUCUGGAGAUACUGCCCCGGUUAACGGGGAGGAAGGGGGGGAUGACGUCAAGUCCUCAUGGCCUUUAUGUCCAGGGCUACACACGUGCUACAAUGGGCUGUACAAAGGGUUGCGAACCCGCGAGGGGAAGCUAAUCUCAAAAAGCAGUUCAUAGUUCGGAUUGGAGUCUGCAACUCGACUCCAUGAAGCUGGAAUCGCUAGUAAUCGUGGAUCAGCAUGCCACGGUGAAUACGUUCCCGGGCCUUGUACACACCGCCCGUCACACCAUGAGAGUUGGUUGUACCAGAAGUCGUUGGGCAAACCCUUCGGGGAUGGGUAGGCGCCUAAGGUAUGGCUGAUGAUUGGGGUGAAGUCGUAACAAGGUAGCCGU
This 1225-nucleotide ribosomal RNA is filed under the name uncultured prokaryote. RNAcentral's name for it is "partial 16S ribosomal RNA". It matches the Rfam family "Bacterial small subunit ribosomal RNA", at positions 295 to 1503 of the family's 1533-position model. The record is from RNAcentral.